Molecule: ribosomal RNA, 253 nt
Filed under: uncultured bacterium
Lineage: Bacteria
Description: partial 16S ribosomal RNA
Rfam family: Bacterial small subunit ribosomal RNA
Source: RNAcentral
UACGUAGGGUGCAAGCGUUAAUCGGAAUUACUGGGCGUAAAGCGUGCGCAGGCGGUUGUGCAAGACAGAUGUGAAAUCCCCGAGCUUAACUUGGGAACUGCAUUUGGGACUGCAAAGCUGGAGUACGGCAGAGGGAGGUGGAAUUCCACGUGUAGCAGUGAAAUGCGUAGAGAUGUGGAGGAACACCGAUGGCGAAGGCAGCCUCCUGGGCUAGUACUGACGCUCAUGCACGAAAGCGUGGGGAGCAAACAGG